GAUCCUAGCUCAAGAUAAACGCUAGCGGCAGGCCUAACACAUGCAAGUCGAGGGGCAUCGGAUAGAGUACUUCGGUACUCUUGCCGGCGACCGGCGGACGGGUGCGUAACGCGUAUGCAACCUACCUUCAACAGGGGGAUAAUCCGAAGAAAUUUGGUCUAAUACCCCAUAAUAUUCCGACAGGCAUCUGUCGGAGUUGAAAGCUUCGGUGGUUGGAGAUGGGCAUGCGUUGUAUUAGCUAGAUGGUG
This 248-nucleotide ribosomal RNA is filed under the name uncultured bacterium. RNAcentral's name for it is "partial 16S ribosomal RNA". It matches the Rfam family "Bacterial small subunit ribosomal RNA", at positions 15 to 254 of the family's 1533-position model. The record is from RNAcentral.